RNAcentral lists this long non-coding RNA (1835 nucleotides) under Olea europaea subsp. europaea. Lineage: Eukaryota; Viridiplantae; Streptophyta; Magnoliopsida; Lamiales; Oleaceae. The record is from RNAcentral.
GUUUUUGGUAAUCAAUUGGGGAUUCGAGAUCCUAAUGAUUCUAUUUCAAUUUAUUUCUAUACAUUAACUUCCAAAAUUGCAUAUUUACAUUUUAAUUGAGUUGUUGAGUCAUUUAAUUAGGGGAAUUUCGAAAUUAGGGUUUUCUUCAAAAUUAGGGUUUCAAAUUGGUGGUUUCUUCCAAAAUUAGGGUUUUUCACACUUAGACCAAAUUUUCAUUCAAUUGGAUUCGGUUAUAGUCACAUUAGUUUAAUUAGAGUUAAUUCAAUCCUUGUGGGAAUGAUACUUGGACUCAUAGUCCAUUUUACUACUUGCUAACGAACCGUACACUUGCGGUGGGAUUUUAAAAUUGAAAGAAACAUUUCGCGAACAAGUACCUUCUGAGGUACCCUAUGUCUAGAUCAAGACAUUUUCUCUUUGUAUCGUGGACUAAAACACGUAGGACACUAAGUCAUGCUCUCGGUUUCUUUGUAGUACAACAUGCAAUCAUUCACACAAGCAUGGAUUUUCAUAACACCAAGGCCAAGACUGGAUAACAUUUUCUUUGUUUUAUAGAACGUAGCUUCUAGGCGGUCACCUUCUGGCAUAAUUUACUUAAUUAUAGACAGCAUACGAUCAUAACAUGAUGCCAGCAUAUUAAACUCAGACUUCAGAUUCAAGAAUCGUGCCAUUUUAGAAAGGUUUGUGUGCCUACUACAACCAGGCCACACAAGUUUGUUAGCUCCUUCCAAUAGUGUAAAGAAAUUUGCGGCAUGUUGAUUUGAGGUUUGUUCCUCAUGACCACAAGCAUUAUGAUUGAUGUAAUCAUGGUACAUUUCAGGGCCCACUGCAUCUACCACCAUUGCUUCAUGGCUCUCAAUGGUUGUAGCUUGUGCAGUUGAGGAUUCAACCAAAUUUGGACCAUUGAAACUGAAUGGUUCUCCAUGCGCGUUCCACUGUGUAUAGCCCCUUGUAAAUCCAUUUUUGUAAAGAUGAAAUUUCACAUCAUCUCCUCUGAGAAACCUUGUGUUUUUACAUAUAGAACAUGGACAUUUGAUCAUAUCUCCAUCUCUUGUUUGAGACAUGGCAAAUUCAAUGAACUCUUCAACACCUUAAUGAAUUUAUCAGAAAGAAAUCCAUCAUCUACCCUAUUCAGCAUCCAACUGCGAUCCGAUUCCAUAAUGUUCAACAACAAUUCAUAGAAUUAUAAUUGCAUAUUUUUCAUGAAUUAUUACAUGAUUCGAGUAUUAAACCUGCAAAAUGAAUCCAAUUAACUCCCUUUCUAGAAAUAAACGAUUGAAAUCAGUUUCAUUUAUUUAAUCAUUUAGACAACUAAACAAGCAGUUUAGCAACAAACACAAUUCAAAUUAAAAGUCAACUAUUUCAAUUCACAGUUUCCAUUAAUAAGCAAUGAUCAAUCAAAAUUACAUUCUUAAUUGACGAUUACAUAUUUAACAACUUUCUAAGAAAUCAAAUUAACACUUUCCAAUCAAGAAUCUCAAUUAUUUGAAUCCUCAAUAGUUCAGCAUAAAAACAGCAACAAUUGAUUCCAAAUUGUACAAAGAAAUGGAUCACCUAAAUGUAUAUAUCGUUAGCAUAAAAACUUGAUUCACUUGCACAAGUAAAUAGCAUAACAGAACUUAGUAAAUCUGGAACUAAACUAGUAAAAUUUUGUCACGGCUUAAGCUCAAACCCAAGCUUCACCUGUAACCCCUCUCAAUCGUAGCUCAAGGACGAAGUGAAAUUUGCUGGGUUAGUUGCUAUGUUUCCACAAAUUAAAGACAAAAUAGAAUGGGGAAGGGAUUAAAUGGAAAAAAAAAAAGAAAUUGGAGAGAAAUUCUGUUGAAAAUGUAAGACUU